RNAcentral lists this ribosomal RNA (660 nucleotides) under uncultured bacterium. RNAcentral describes it as "bacterial SSU rRNA". It matches the Rfam family "Bacterial small subunit ribosomal RNA", at positions 816 to 1482 of the family's 1533-position model. The record is from RNAcentral.
UUAGUCNUNGGGUAGNUAGUCUAUUCGGUGAUGCAGCUAACNCAUUAAACAUUCNNNNUGGGGAGUACGGUCNCAAGAUUAAAACUCAAAGGAAUAGACGGGGACCCGCACAAGUGGUGGAGCAUGUGGUUUAAUUCGAAGAUACGCGAAGANCCUUACCUAGCCUUGACAUAUUUUAGANCACUUNAGAGAUAGAGUGGUGCCUUCGGGAGCUAAUAUACAGGUGCUGCACGGCUGUCGUCAGCUCGUGUCGUGAGAUGUUGGGUUAAGUCCCGCAACGAGCGCAACCCUCGUCACUAGUUACUAACGGUUCGGCCGAGGACUCUAGUGAGACUGCCUUCGUAAGGAGGAGGAAGGUGAGGACGACGUCAAGUCAUCAUGGCCCUUACGGCUAGGGCAACACACGUGCUACAAUGGCCAGGACAAUGAGAGGCGAUACCGCGAGGUGGAGCAAAUCUAUAAACCUGGUCUCAGUUCGGAUUGUAGUCUGCAACUCGACUACAUGAAGCUGGAAUCACUAGUAAUCGUAGAUCAGCUAUGCUACGGUGAAUACGUUCCCGGGUCUUGUACUCACCGCCCGUCACACCAUGGGAGUUGAUUUCACCCGAAGCGGGGAAGCUAAACUGGCUACCCUCCACGGUGGAAUUAGCGACUGGGGUG